Molecule: ribosomal RNA, 253 nt
Filed under: uncultured bacterium
Lineage: Bacteria
Description: partial 16S ribosomal RNA
Rfam family: Bacterial small subunit ribosomal RNA
Source: RNAcentral
CACGUAGGGCGCAAGCGUUGUCCGGAAUUAUUGGGCGUAAAGAGCUCGUAGGCGGUCUGUUGCGUCCGCUGUGAAAACUCGGGGCUUAACCCCGAGCCUGCAGUGGAUACGGGCAGACUAGAGGUAGGUAGGGGAGAAUGGAAUUCCCGGUGUAGCGGUGAAAUGCGCAGACAUCGGGAGGAACACCGGUGGCGAAGGCGGUUCUCUGGGCCUUACCUGACGCUGAGGAGCGAGAGCGUGGGGAGCGAACAGG